This 447-nucleotide ribosomal RNA is filed under the name uncultured bacterium. Its description in RNAcentral is "bacterial SSU rRNA". It matches the Rfam family "Bacterial small subunit ribosomal RNA", at positions 329 to 793 of the family's 1533-position model. The record is from RNAcentral.
UACCAGACUCCUACGGGAGGCAGCAGAGGGGAAUAUUGCACAAUGGGGGAAACCCUGAUGCAGCGACGCCGCGUGAGUGAAGAAGUAUUUCGGUAUGUAAAGCUCUAUCAGCAGGGAAGAUAAUGACGGUACCUGAGUAAGAAGCCCCGGCUAACUACGUGCCAGCAGCCGCGGUAAUACGUAGGGGGCAAGCGUUAUCCGGAUUUACUGGGUGUAAAGGGAGCGUAGACGGCAUGGCAAGUCUGAAGUGAAAGCCCGGGGCUCAACCGCGGGACUGCUUUGGAAACUGUUAAGCUGGAGUGCAGGAGAGGUAAGUGGAAUUCCUAGUGUAGCGGUGAAAUGCGUAGAUAUUAGGAGGAACACCAGUGGCGAAGGCGGCUUACUGGACUGUAACUGACGUUGAGGCUCGAAAGCGUGGGGAGCAAACAGGAUUAGAUACCCCCGUAC